This is a long non-coding RNA of Cyprinus carpio carpio, 1005 nucleotides long. Lineage: Eukaryota; Metazoa; Chordata; Actinopteri; Cypriniformes; Cyprinidae. The record is from Ensembl.
AUAUUUAGAUUUAGCAAGAGUCCAGUGCAACUCUCUUUACAGUUAAGAGUUUGUGUGCUGGACCCACUCACCAGAAGAGAAUGAUUCUUAAGUGCCGCCUGCAGCUGCUUCCUGUGUGUAACUCUUACCAGGGUCCUCAGCUCCACAGGCGGCCGCACCUCUGUAGUCGUCCUGUGUGGUUGCUUUUUGAGAGUAUGUUGUUGUCGAGAAUCCUUUGUUAAUCCUCUCUUUUUGUCCUUCCCCUUUGUUUCUGGUCUGUGUUUUGUCUGUGGCUAUAAGCGCUCCCUUGCCUCCCUCUUUUCUCCUUGCAUUUUCCCACUAUUGUUGCAAUAUUCAGUGACACAAGGACUGUGUGUAAAGGUAUUCAAAAAUCUUCACAAAUGACAGUAAUUUGCCUGAUGAUGUUGAGGUAUCUUAUUCUUGUUUCCUGCCUAAGAGUGAAGUGUGAAUAUAUGGCUUCCUUUGCUGUGUUACUGUAAAUGGAGAGGUAUGUUGAUGUGAAAUUGAAAUGCUCUAUAUAGCCUUUUUUAUAUAAAAUUAUAACAAAAUUUGCUUGUCUGUGUUGUUUUACUGUGAUUCCAUUAAGAUUUGCAGGCCAAAGACUCCCUGCUGGAAAAUGUGUCAAAUUUGCUGCCAAUAUUGUAGAUAGAUAGCAACCAAUAUUGGUUUUUGAUUACAAAGUAUUUCGUCCAGCUGUUGUACUGUAUCUCUGCAUGUUUGUAAAUCAUAUCUAAAAGUUUUUAGCCCUAGCAUUGGUUAUCCAUCACCCAUAUAGCAUCUCUGUGCCCUUUCCUUGCUCUAGUAAAAUCAAUACGAGGGUCCCGGGAGAUCAGGAAAACCUAUUGACCACACAAACCUCCUAAUUGAGGCAGGAAGGAGGGGCUGCACUUAGAAGAUAUUUAGAGGAUGUGUUCAGACUCGUCUCUCAUCAGCAACCUUACUGCCCUCCUAAUACAAACCUGCCCUCCUGUUGUUGUGUAUCAUUACCAAACAAAUAAAAAACGU